CCUCCUUUUCUGAGCAGGCCUGGGCAACACAGUGCCUGGCUUUGUUGUGCCCAGAGGUAGAAGAAAGCCCACCUGGUGUUCUGUCUUUGGUGCCAACAGCUUUUCGAUUUGCUAGUUCUACCCUCAAGCGUCAGAACUCUC
Small nucleolar RNA from Sphaerodactylus townsendi, 141 nucleotides. RefSeq annotates it as small nucleolar RNA SNORA57. NCBI's taxonomy places the organism in Eukaryota, Metazoa, Chordata, Lepidosauria, Squamata, Sphaerodactylidae. The record is from RefSeq and is a predicted model, not a curated record. The transcript has a single exon.